Long non-coding RNA from Drosophila sechellia, 5249 nucleotides. RefSeq lists it as uncharacterized. The record is from RefSeq and is a predicted model, not a curated record. The transcript has 2 exons. Lineage: Eukaryota; Metazoa; Arthropoda; Insecta; Diptera; Drosophilidae.
CUUCUUUUUAACUUUUCGAAUUACCCUUUUGCUUUUCGUUCAGUGUAUCGAAUUCCCAUGCUUUCCUGGGAUCUCUAUACACCUCCUUCCAGUUAGCUAACCGUGAAGUGUGUCGCUUCUGUUGUUAACAACACCUUCGACCUCUCCUCUCCCUUUCGCUCUUCCUUAACCCAUCCUUCUUCUUCUUCAUCUGAUCCUACUCCUCCUUUCCCAUCCUCUUCUUCUUCCACACACGUCACGCUGGAAUUGAAAAAAAAAAGAAUUUCCAGACAUGUGCUUGCGAUUAAGAACUUUAUUCGCUUCAUUGUUGUUGGCGAAUGAUAAGUGCUAACGUGUAUGCAUGUACGUACGUAUGUGAGUGUGUCUUCUAAUACAUUACAUAAUCGCCAAAUGAAAUUCGCCCAUUUCUUAUUUUUUUUUGGCAACAUCGGAAUGCCUAUAAAUAAAAAUCUCUAUAUUUGUGGGUUUAACGAACUUUGCUUGUUUUUGGUCCGUCCGCUUUAGAUUUUUUUUUGGUAAAUUUCCACAAGUCCGGCUUGAUUUUUUUGGGCCUUAUUCUUGUAAAUUUACAACAACAAAAACAAAUGCCACGGCGCAGAGCGAAAUAAAGAAAAAGAGCGUAAGGCGGAGAGAGUUGGUCGAGCAAGAGAGAGCGGAGAAAAAAAAAAACAGAGAAUACCAUUUUUCAUUCGUUCACGUUUCGUUUCUCAUGCGUGUCACUAGCUUAUGCUGUGUUGUUGUUGCGAAAGAAGGAAGACACACCAUCUCUCUCUCUUGCAAAAGAGAUGUGUCCGCCGAAUGACCUUAAAGCAAAAGGAGGAGCAGCAGCACGCCCACUUACCACCCACCGGCAAUGCACAUUUGCAUGUGAGCGGAUUGCAUAAUGCCAAGAACGAGAAAAAUGCCGAAAAGAAUAUUACUUGCGAUUUUGUAAUUGAAAAAUCAAUAGCACACACACACACACGUACGUAAAAAUGUACACCCACGGCGUGCACACAUACACACGAAAAAAAGGCUUGCAGGACGAGCCUCCUUUUGCUUUUUCUCGGGGGUGAUUUGCUUUCUCUUUGACCUGCGUUGGGUAAUAAAUACACAGGCAAAAAAAGAAACUAAUGUCACUGCGGCAACUUUAAUAACAAGCAAACGUUUGAAAGUGUCCUUUAGGAAUAACAGAAUAUAUAAUAAUAUAUAAUAUAUUAUAAUAACAUAUUAUGCAUACAUGAACAAUCAAAUAAAUAUAACUUCAUUUAAAAUUAAAAUCAAGAGAGACAGUAAUUACGAGUGUAAUUUUGACCCAAUUUUAUAAUUUGCUGUGCAAUCUGCGAUAAUUAUUUAAGUAUGCAGCAAUUAUUUCUUGCCGUGUAGAUUCGCCAAAUGUUAUGCACACUCCCCAAAUCUUCUUCUUCCUGUUCUGCCGCCGCUGGCCGAGAGCCAAAAAGAAAAAAUGUUAGUGCUGACGCGUUUUAUUUAAUUUUGUUUUGCUUUUCUCUGAUUUACGGGUUUUGCUUAUUUUGUCUAUAAAUAAUUCUUGUAAAUGUUACAGUAGAAAAGGUUUAAUUUGUUUUCCACUUCCAACAAUUACAUGCAAUACAUUUAUUUUAUAUGCAGCGAAUUGGCCAAUAACCCACAUAUUUCUGCCAAGUGUUUAGACCAAAGCAAAAAAAGCGCUGUUUUAUUUGCGUUUGACGUAGUUUGACGAAAUGGCAACACGCGAAAUUUUUUAUCGCCUCUCCGCUAAUACGUCACAAAUCGUGACAACUCUUACGUAACACCCACGACCCUUUUUCCUUUUGUUUUUCCAAAACAAACCAAGAGAGAGAGUGAGCGAAAGAGAGAGUGGAAAGUAAGGAGAGUGCCGUUAGAAAGCGGAAAAAGUAAACAGAUGAUCAAGCGAUUGCAUAAGAGCAAAUGCAUAAUUUAUACACAAUUUGUACAUUAGCUUUUUACGCCCGGUGCGCAUUUUUGAUUAGCGAAUCUAAAUCGGGAUUUUAUGACCAGCGGGCAAAGCUCAAGUGGACCUUUUUUCCACCUGGAUUAACGCCAAUCCAGAAUUCUAGUUAUGCGCGUGAUAACACGACGCCUUCUUAAACAGGUGUCGUCAUGGAAAGUUAGAGGGUCCCGAGAUACCAGUGAUAUUGGAACCCAAAUCAUUACUAUUUAACCAAUUUAACCACCAAAAAAAAACCCCCAUCUUGCCAUCAGAAUAAUAAAUAAUUAAUGAAUCCCAUCGUAUAUUGACACUUCGUAUCAACAGCACUAUGUUUUUGAUGUUAUCAGCUAAGCUUUAUGAUCCAAAUUUACAUAUGUAUGUACCAUGGCAUGAACUUUAUGCUGACUAACCUCUUACAAUACUAAUCCACAAACAAUCAACGUGCAUACAUACAUAUAUGUAUAUUGCAACAAUAUGUUUAAUCGCAGGCUUAUGCAACUCAGUAAAAAUGUCACCUUGUUGGGAGAAUGCAUUGCCGAACAAUACUAAAAAUGCACUGCAAAUAGAAAUCUGUAAUACUAUAUAUAUGCAUUUAUAUCUUCCUGUAUGAUUUGCAAGUUAUAUUGAGUAAAUUGGCUAAAUCAGCAUUGCGUGCCGCAUUUGAGUUAGCUUUUAGCCUUACCGCAAUGCCCUGCCCAGUCUGCCCAUAUCUCCUUAUAGCAUAUAUAGUAUAUGGUACAUGGUAUAAGCCCCCUUCAUAUCACCCCCGUCGUUUUCGGAGCGGACUGAUGAUAAUCGUGACAAAUUUGCCGCUGGGGCACAUGAUCGGUAGACGUCGCCAUAUCGCUGAUAAAGCGGACACGCAAAGCCCCCCAACCAACUGGGAAUGCGAAUGCGAAUAUAAGGUGUUAACUCAAUCAGUUUUUAUUUUGAUAAUGAUAAAAAGACGGCCAAAUAUUUGUAUACAUACUACUAUGUACGAUUUGGGCGAUUUCGCAAUGCGCAAAUUGCUCGCUUUGUAGAUACAAGAUACAAAUGUAUCCGUAUGAUUGAUGGUCAAAAAAAGUUCGAACACAGGGCUGCACAUUAAGCUAAAUGUUGAUGUUUUAAAUAGUAACUAAUUACCGAACUUGUUUCCAUUUGCCGAACAUUUACAGAAAAAAAAACAAAGAUCCUAAGAACUUGGCAACCGGAAUCUGUCUGGCCAAAGUAAUAUGCAAAUUGGAAUCUGCUUAAUUCCCAUUUAAAUGACUGAGGGGAAAAUUCCGACCCGGCAACAACAGACGGGCAUCUGAAGUUUGUUCAACUGAUCCGAUCCAAUCCAAUACGAAACAGCGAUUCUCCAGUUGACUUGAGUUGAAUUUAGUUGAGUGACGGGAUUACGUCACGCGGUACUUUCAAUGCGCUGCGAUUGUGUGAUGAUGUCCGUUUACUUUGGGCGGCAGAGACAAUAAAAUGGCACUACUACUAUUACUACUACUACUACUACAAUAGUGGAGAAUGGCAAACACGGCGCUCUAAACUUAAUUAAGACGAUUAACUCGGACUGCAAUUAUUAGACAACUGACAAGCGGUCGCUCUCUAAUAGCAGAUAUCAUUAAAGUCGAAUUGAAAACGCCACGCGAUGCAAGGCGGCCCAAGGUUCCCAAUGCCCAUACCCAUACCCCUACCGAUACCACCAUUCAUCCAUAGUGGGAUACAACCGUUUCCAUGAUCAUCAUUCAAAUGCCAAGUGUUUGAAGUACAGACUUCGCUCCAUCGUGCAUUCUGUCAGUUGCAUAACUCGCAUGGGUUUAAUUGCAUAUUUUGUGGUAUGGAGCAUUUAAAGUUUUUACUUGCGAUGCAGCUUCACUGUAGUCUGUUGUGUGAGAACACUUGAUUCCAUCGCCGCGGGGUCAACGGCGGCUCACCUCGAUGACAACUCUGCUCGCUGCUCGGCGCUCGGCGUUCGAGGCUUUCCCGGCUUUCUCAAGGUUUCCGUUUCGUUUUCGCACUUAUAUAUAUAUAUAUAUAUAUGUAUAUACAUUGCGUAACCCGAUGGAUCAGAUCAUUCGAUCGAGGUGAAAGAAGUGGAGCAAGUCUGCCGGCGCCGUCACAACACGCGAGUCCAGAACCAGAGCCAGAACGCUUCCUUGAUGACAUGGCAAAGGCGGGCCAUAGUUAGACAUGCGAUAAUUGCCGGCGCGUGAGACCUUGAAAUCCAUUCGGAACAUCCACUACUACAUAUACAUACUACUUGUACACAUGCUCGCCCAUUGUCGGGGGCUUGGGCUUAUCAGCAGAUGAACGUGCGCCUCUGGCCCAGAUAAUGGGCCCUCCAGUCGUACAUAAAUAUUCUGGCCUGGAGCCUGAGGCUCGCUUCAAGUGUCCACUCGGCCCCCACCCCCCACCCCCCUCCCGCUCGUCACUCCGGAAAAGUGAAAUAAUUGCGGAGCAUAGCGAUUAGAUAGCAGCGGUAGUACAGUGGUGCGUGGUCAUUGAUCGGCAGGUUUUUUUUAUUAUAUUUUUUUUAUUAUUUUUUUUUUUAUUUUUGUUAUGCAAGCCUUUCUCGCGUUUGACAGCUCAAUUAGCAUUAGAAACAUGAGCAUUUCACCUGCGGUUUGCCACAUUAGCUACAAAACGAUGUUUGAUAUCUUGGGUUUCCGAUUUCCCACGAUACAGAAGAAAAACAAAAUGAUGGGAAAUGGGAAUUGUAUAUCUAGUUAUUUGAGCACUAAGUACCUUUUCGCUCAGUGCAUCGCUUGUGGUAACUAAAAGCAACGGACUUGCGGUUGCUAACAAAGGACAUUGGUUUUGUAUUUUGGUACGCUGCUCGGCUAUUAUCGGUAAUUAAUAUGCACGUCGUUUUCUUUUUUUUUUGGCCAAAAUGCUUUUUAUCAAUGAACGUGAAUGGAAAACCGGUCGCCGCUUGGCGGCUCACCCAUUAAAUUGGUCCGCGAAUCAUGCAAUUCAAUUUUGCAGGCGGCGGCGCCACAAGUUCACUUGGUUAAUUGAAUUUGUUGACCCACUGGCCGCGCAGCAAGAAAAAUAAAGAAAAUCAUGGCAGAGUGGUGGGGAUAUAUGUAUACAUAGUGGGGCGGUGGAGGGCUAGUGGGGACUACGCCCGUCAAUCAAAUACAAAUCCGCACUUUGCGCCCGCCGAUCGGAAUCGGAAUUGAAAUUGGACUCGCGGCUCUGAAUCGCAUUUUCCAUUCCAUUUCGCUUCGUUUUAUUUGACAAAUGCCAACGCGUGGCUAAAGAUCACUGGGGUGUUCCAGUUUAAGAGGUUUUCCACAUUAUAAGUGUUCCAUAUAUUAAAAAAAAAAAAAAAAAAAAAAAA